GUUCUACUGCCUCACUGAUACUACUAUAGACUGUCUAAUAAUACACAGCCUGCAGGCCUUCAGUGAUAGAGGGGGUUGGAUAGGCCUUCAGUGAUUGGUAUAGAGGGGUUGGAUAGGCCUUCAGUGAUUGGUAUAGAGGGGUUGGAUAGGCCUUCAGUGAUUGGUAUAGAGGGGUUGGUAGGCCUUCAGUGAUUGGUAUAGAGGGGUUGGAUAGGUCUUCAGUGAUUGGUAUAGAGGGGGUUGGGUAGGCCUUCAGUGAUUGGUAUAGAGGGGGCUGGAUAGGCCUUCAGUGAUUGGUAUUGAGGGGGUUGGAUAGGUCUUCAGUGAUUGGUAUAGAGGAGGUUGGAUAGGCCUUCAGUGAUUGGUAUAGAGGAGGUUGGAUAGGCCUUCAGUGAUUGGUAUAGAGGGGGUUGGUAGGCCUUCAGUGAUUGGUAUAGAGGGGGUUGGUAGGCCUUCAGUGAUUGGUAUAGAGGGGGUUGGAUAGGCCUUCAGUGAUUGGUAUAGAGGGGUUGGAUAGGCCUUCAGUGAUAGAGGGGUUGGGUAGGCCUUCAGUGAUUGGUAUAGAUGGGGUUGGAUAGGCCUUCAGUGAUUGGUAUAGAGGGGUUGGAUAGGCCUUCAGUGAUAGAGGGGUUGGGUAGGCCUUCAGUGAUUGGUAUAGAUGGGGUUGGAUAGGCCUUCAGUGAUUGGUAUAGAGGGGUUGGAUAGGCCUUCAGUGAUAGAGGGGUUGGGUAGGCCUUCAGUGAUUGGUAUAGAGGGGUUGGUAGGCCUUCAGUGAUUGGUAUGGAGGGGUUGGGUAGGCCUUCAGUGAUUGGUAUAGAGGGGUUGGAUAGGGCUUCAGUAAUUGGUAUAGAGGGGUUGGGUAGGCCUUCAGUGAUUGGUAUGGAGGGGGUUGGAUAGGUCUUCAGUGAUUGGUAUAGAGGAGGUUGGAUAGGCCUUCAGUGAUAGAGGGGUUGGGUAGGCCUUCAGUGAUUGGUAUAGAGGGGUUGGAUAGGCCUUCAGUGAUUGGUAUAGAGGGGUUGGAUAGGUCUUCAGUGAUUGGUAUAGAGGAGGUUGGAUAGGCCUUCAGUGAUAGAGGGGUUGGGUAGGCCUUCAGUGAUUGGUAUAGAGGGGUUGGAUAGGCCUUCAGUGAUAGAGGGGUUGGGUAGGCCUUCAGUGAUUGGUAUAGAGGGGUUGGAUAGGCCUUCAGUGAUUGGUAUAGAGGGGGUUGGAUAGGGCUUCAGUGAUUGGUAUAGAGGGGGUUGGAUAGGCCUUCAGUGAUUGGUAUAGAGGGGUUGGAUAGGCCUUCAGUGAUUGGUAUAGAGGGGUUGGAUAGGCCUUCAGUGAUUGGUAUAGAGGGGUUGGAUAGGCCUUCAGUGAUUGGUAUAGAGGGGUUGGAUAGGCCUUCAGUGAUUGGUAUAGAGGGUUACUCAGGAGCUAGAGAGCUGGUUGGAUAGGCCUUCAGUGACGGUAGCCAGCCAAAUGACAGCAGUCUACGUAUGAGUUAGUUUUAUGAGUUAUAUUUUAUGAGAAAAAAUAAAUAAAUUAAACACAUUGUCUCCCCUCAUCUGCUCCUGACUGCAUCUGCUGCCAUAGAAAUAGAAUGACUAGAACGGAUGGUGGCAUAAUGGCAGGACUGGCGGCCAUGUUGAGUGUCCCCAUAGGAGCAAAGCUAGGUUAUAAAAUUUGAAGGUUAAAGACACCGGCUUCACAAUAAUGUUUGAGGUUCUACCUCUCUGAAUCAACCAUGUGAUCAGCUCAGGUAUUGGAGCUACGCUGCCUCGGCAGAAGGCAAGCUGUCUGAAACAGAUCAUGAGGUUGGUAAGGAAAUAAAAUAGCAUUGAAGCUAAUGUGAGAAAAGAGACAACCAUCUAGCCAGCUAGCUAACGUCUGGGCUGAAGAUUACAAGGUUAAUAAGACAGAGGGGUUCUAAUAUCCCAUAAUUUGGCGAUUCAUGGGACCGGCGUUGCUAAUUAGCAAGUAGUUUUCAACUGAGCUGGUCCCAUGAAUUUGUUUUAUUUUCAAAUCCUUCCUGAUGGGAGUUAUUACGUUGUUGUAACCUUGUUUUUUUUUUAACCUUGGAGCAAAGCAGGAAGUAAAAGCAGGAAGUGUACCCUGUGCUGUUAUUUGUUGAUUCAACUCUACAGACGUUACAAAUAAUACAUUCCAUUGUUUGAGCCACAUCAGUGAACAUCAUUUGAAUAAACAUUCUACAUUACCAUGGAAAUUAUUACAUCACAAUACCAGGCAGCCAUGAGUUUACCAGUCAUAUUACCAGGGUUAGAGGUUCCAAGCCU
Non-coding RNA from Oncorhynchus mykiss (rainbow trout), 2273 nucleotides. The record is from RefSeq and is a predicted model, not a curated record. Lineage: Eukaryota; Metazoa; Chordata; Actinopteri; Salmoniformes; Salmonidae.